This 253-nucleotide ribosomal RNA is filed under the name uncultured bacterium. RNAcentral describes it as "partial 16S ribosomal RNA". It matches the Rfam family "Bacterial small subunit ribosomal RNA", at positions 524 to 776 of the family's 1533-position model. The record is from RNAcentral.
UACAGAGGGGGCAAGCGUUGUUCGGAAUUACUGGGCGUAAAGGGCGCGUAGGCGGCCUGUUAAGUCGAACGUGAAAUCCCUGGGCUCAACCCAGGAACUGCGUCCGAUACUGGCAGGCUUGAAUCCGGGAGAGGGAUGUGGAAUUCCAGGUGUAGCGGUGAAAUGCGUAGAUAUCUGGAGGAACGCCGGUGGCGAAGGCGGCAUCCUGGACCGGUAUUGACGCUGAGGCGCGAAAGCCAGGGGAGCAAACGGG